This 432-nucleotide ribosomal RNA is filed under the name uncultured cyanobacterium. RNAcentral's name for it is "bacterial SSU rRNA". It matches the Rfam family "Bacterial small subunit ribosomal RNA", at positions 28 to 505 of the family's 1533-position model. The record is from RNAcentral. Lineage: Bacteria; Bacillati; Cyanobacteriota.
GAUGAACGCUGGCGGUAUGCUUAACACAUGCAAGUCGAACGAAGUCUUCGGACUUAGUGGCGGACGGGUGAGUAACGCGUGAGUAUCUGCCUUCAGGAUGGGGACAACAGUUGGAAACGACUGCUAAUACCCGAUGUGCCGCAAGGUGAAAGAUUUAUCGCCUGAAGAGGAACUCGCGUCUGAUUAGCUAGUUGGUGGGGUAGAAGCCUACCAAGGCGACGAUCAGUAGCUGGUUUGAGAGGAUGAUCAGCCACACUGGGACUGAGACACGGCCCAGACUCCUACGGGAGGCAGCAGUGGGGAAUUUUCCGCAAUGGGCGCAAGCCUGACGGAGCAAUACCGCGUGAGGGAGGAAGGCCUUUGGGUUGUAAACCUCUUUUGAUUGGGAAGAAGCUCUGACGGUACCAAUCGAAUAAGCAUCGGCUAACUCCG